GAUGAACGCUGGCGGCGUGCCUAAUACAUGCAAGUCGAGCGAACAGACGAGGAGCUUGCUCCUCUGACGUUAGCGGCGGACGGGUGAGUAACACGUGGAUAACCUACCUAUAAGACUGGGAUAACUUCGGGAAACCGGAGCUAAUACCGGAUAAUAUAUUGAACCGCAUGGUUCAAUAGUGAAAGACGGUUUUGCUGUCACUUAUAGAUGGAUCCGCGCCGCAUUAGCUAGUUGGUAAGGUAACGGCUUACCAAGGCAACGAUGCGUAGCCGACCUGAGAGGGUGAUCGGCCACACUGGAACUGAGACACGGUCCAGACUCCUACGGGAGGCAGCAGUAGGGAAUCUUCCGCAAUGGGCGAAAGCCUGACGGAGCAACGCCGCGUGAGUGAUGAAGGUCUUCGGAUCGUAAAACUCUGUCAUUAGGGAAGAACAAAUGUGUAAGUAACUAUGCACGUCUUGACGGUACCUAAUCAGAAAGCCACGGCUAACUACGU
This 496-nucleotide ribosomal RNA is filed under the name uncultured bacterium. Its description in RNAcentral is "partial 16S ribosomal RNA". It matches the Rfam family "Bacterial small subunit ribosomal RNA", at positions 28 to 506 of the family's 1533-position model. The record is from RNAcentral.